GCGAACGACGUGCGAGGGGGAGAGGGAAUAUGUGGGGUGUGGUCGUUGUCCGGAAUUAUGGGGCUGAAAGAGUGCGGAGGCGGUCUGUCGCGUCGGGAGUGAAAACGCAAGGCUUAACUCUGAGACUGCGUGCGAUACUGGCAGACUAGAGGGAUGCAGGGGGGAAGGGAAUUCCUGGUGUAGCGGUGAAAUGCGCAGAUAUCAGGAGGAACAGCGGUGGCGAAGGGGGUUCUGUGGGCAUUACCUGAGGCUGAGGAGCGAAAGUGUGGGGAGCGAACAGGAUUAGAUACCCGGGUAGUC
Molecule: ribosomal RNA, 300 nt
Filed under: uncultured archaeon
Lineage: Archaea
Description: bacterial SSU rRNA
Rfam family: Bacterial small subunit ribosomal RNA
Source: RNAcentral